GAUAUGUGAACCUGACGUUUUUGAAUCCACCGCGCAACUCGAACUGCGGAAGAUGGGAACGGUCAAUGUCGUGAUCAUAGAACAUAUAAUUUUGCUAAAACACAAGUUUAAAGGAUUUAACAGCGAUUACAUAGUAAAAUAAAGCCAAAUUAAAUCAACAUUGCAUGAUUUUUAUUAAUUUUGGCUGUUUGCCUGUUCCAAGCCCGAUAAUUUACGACAUUACACCCUAGCCGUUUUGCGACGCCAUGUUUUGUAGAGAAGGACGCAACGAUACAUUUGCAAGGAAAAAAGCAGUUUAUACGCCGAAAAUAGAUUAUACGGUUAUAUGUAGACGAAAAUAUACAGAUUGGUGCCGUUCGGAUUCAUGUAACAACUGUACAAACGAUGUCACCCCGAAUGCAGUUCCACGAUGUACAUGUACUUCAUUGUUUUUCACGUAUAGAGAAGGAAAAGAAUCCACAUAUAUCAGUAGUUAACAUCUUCCACCUACUCAACUCUAGAUAGCUGUGCCUGAUGUAUGAAAAGAUCUCUGUGUGUUGCAAACACUAGAAUGGGCUAAGAAUCAUAUUAAUGUGUCAAAGCCUGAAAUCUGCAUGGCACAGUUGUUAGAGCAGCUCUCAAUUGUCUCAAAGUAAGGAGCACUGUGGAACAUGGAGGCCAGUCCUUUGGAUGAGACUGUAUAAACUGUGUUCCUCUGCUGCAGUAGACAUUGGCAUGAAAAAGAUCCCUCAGAGCUCAAUGGCCAAAAGUACCGAGUAAUAGGUUUAAAGCUGCAGCCCUUCACCAGCAAGUGGUAGCGUCUUCAUAUGAGUGAAAAAAAUUCUUGAGAGGGACAUUACACAACAUACAAACAAAGCAAAGGCUGAACUAUUUGCUUCAGAAAAGACCUACACCUACAGUGAUCAUUAUUUGAACAAAGUAUGUGACCAAAAAAGCUUGCAGUUGAAAGGCAAAGAAAAGAAUUCAUUAUGACAGGAAAGCUAGCUUUUAUAGAACAGACUGUACAUGCAUGUAGAAACUAUUGUCAAGGUUAAAGAAAUAAUUCUGUUUGACUAGGACAAAAGUUCUCUUUUUUGAUAAGUGUUUUAUUUUUAACUGGUGUCCAAUAUCUCCAUAUGUUGUACAUUUUAAUAUUAAUUACAUUGGCAAUUAGAUUUGGCCUAAAAUAUGUCAUUGUAAUGUCAGUCUUAUUGUGUGGCCUUUUUCUGUUCAUAUAAACCUUAGUGCUUGAAAUAGACUAUGAAAUAUAGGAAAUGGGGAUGUGAAUAAUUAUAUAAUUAUUUAAGGACUUAAUAAUGAUUAUUUUAUUAUUUUAUUUAUAAUAUUUAUUCAAACAUGUUACAGCAAAAUUUAUUUAGUGCAAACACGGAUAUAGCAAAUCCAUGGAUAUAGCGAACUUUUUUAGAUCCUCAGCUAUAUAAAUUUAAUGAAUUCGUUACAUGGAUAUAACGGAUUGUGGAUAUAGCGAAGUAAUUUUAUGGGUCUUAAUGACUUAAUUAAAACCGAGUUUCACUGUAUAUAUUUAAAAUUAAACUGAAUAGUUUCUUUAUUGAUUUUUUAGCCAUCAUCACAUACAAAUGUGCUUUAAGUCAGAUUUUGGAAAAAAGUCAGAGGAAAUUCAGAUUAUCAUAUCUUUUUUUUUCCAAUUCAUGUACAAACCAAUUUUAUACUCAUUCACAAAACUAAACAUCACUUCUUUAAAAUGGAAUUGAAAAACCAAAUUUCUAAUUAUAUCAAGUGGGAUUUUAUAACAUUUUUUAUAGUCAAGAUUGAGGAAAAAAUAGGCAAUUUUUAAGAGGCCAGAGGAAAUUCAGAUUAAUUAUGUGUUUAUUAGAUACUUGAUUUAAGAAAAAGAAUAAGCAUGUACAUGAUGUAUGAAUUUGAAUUUUUAUUUUAACAUGUUUUAUAUUUAAAAUUAAACUAAAUAAUUUUUUUGAUUGAUUUUUCAGCAAUUAUUAUAGUUAAAUGUGUUUUAUGGGUCAAUUUUUGAAAAAGGCCAGAGGAAAUUCAGAUUAUUAUAUCUAUUUUUCCAAGUCAUGUACAUACCAAUUUUUUCCCGCUUUCACAAAGCUAAACAUCACUUCUUUAAAAUGGAAUUGAAAAACUAAAUUUCCAAUUAUAUCAAGUGUGAUUUUAUAAGAUUUUUACAGUGAAGAUUGAGAAAAAAUAGGCAAUUUUUAAGAGGUCAGAGGAAAUUCAGACUGUAAUU
This is a long non-coding RNA of Saccostrea cuccullata (small rock oyster), 2209 nucleotides long. RefSeq lists it as uncharacterized. The record is from RefSeq and is a predicted model, not a curated record. NCBI's taxonomy places the organism in Eukaryota, Metazoa, Mollusca, Bivalvia, Ostreida, Ostreidae. The transcript is spliced from 3 exons.